GCCUCCGUAGCUCAGUGGCAGAGCAGCGGUCUUAUACCCCGCAGCGCGCCGGUUCGAGUCCGGCCGGAGGUA
RNAcentral lists this transfer RNA (72 nucleotides) under Streptomyces rochei. Its description in RNAcentral is "tRNA-Ile". It matches the Rfam family "tRNA". From Rfam's summary of the family: Transfer RNA (tRNA) molecules are approximately 80 nucleotides in length. Their secondary structure includes four short double-helical elements and three loops (D, anti-codon, and T loops). RNAcentral also lists the same sequence under 5 other names. Lineage: Bacteria; Bacillati; Actinomycetota; Actinomycetes; Kitasatosporales; Streptomycetaceae. The record is from RNAcentral.